Molecule: long non-coding RNA, 300 nt
Filed under: Cicer arietinum (chickpea)
Lineage: Eukaryota; Viridiplantae; Streptophyta; Magnoliopsida; Fabales; Fabaceae
Description: long non-coding RNA (CARI_LNC003393)
Source: RNAcentral
UUCUUUUUUCCAUUCUCUCUUUUUCAGGUUUUUCAUUGUUCUUAAUUCUCUUUAUUAACUAAUAAUGUGUAUCAUCAAUGAUCGAUCCUCUUUAAUUGAUUAAUGUAGAUCGUGUUACAAAGAUGGCUGCUUUUAAGGUUGGUAAAAUACUGUACAUCGUUGUUGUGGAUGAAGGCGAGAAUAAGGUGAAAGAAAACGAGAAGGAGUCGUUGUUGUUGUUGUUGUUGUUCUUCUUCUUCUUCACCAAUUCAAGGAAUUCAGAAAUCAGUAAGUUGAUCAAAAAACACAAACCAAUUCAAG